UAAUUGAGUGUUUUAUGGCACUCUUUAAAAAAAUCCAUAUCCACCUUGUGUGCAACGUUUUUGAACUCUCUGGCAUUAAAAAGCCAAGAGGGUUUGAUUAACUUAACACCUUUAAAGCAGUUUGUCUGAAUAUCUAUUUCUGAAUAAACAUAAUUCAAAAAUA
Molecule: unclassified non-coding RNA, 163 nt
Filed under: uncultured fungus
Lineage: Eukaryota; Fungi
Description: sequence contains ITS1, 5.8S rRNA gene
Source: RNAcentral